This 468-nucleotide ribosomal RNA is filed under the name uncultured bacterium. RNAcentral's name for it is "partial 16S ribosomal RNA". It matches the Rfam family "Bacterial small subunit ribosomal RNA", at positions 28 to 507 of the family's 1533-position model. The record is from RNAcentral.
GAUGAACGCUGGCGGCGUGCCUAAUACAUGCAAGUCGAACGGAAAGGCCCUGCUCUUGCGGGGUGCUCGUGUGGCGAACGGGUGAGUAACACGUGAGUAACCUGUCCCUGUCUUUGGGAUAACUUCAGGAAACUGGGGCUAAUACCGGAUAGGAGCUCCUGCUGCACGGUGGGGGUUGGAAAGUUUCGGCGGUUGGGGAUGGACUCGCGGCUUAUCAGCUUGUUUGUGGAGUAGUGGCUUACCAAGCCUUUGACGGGUAGCCGGCCUGGGAGGGUGACCGGCCACCUUGGGACUGAGGUACGGCCCAGACGCCUACCGGAGGCAGCGGUGGGAAGUAUUACGCAGUAAGCGGGAGCCUGAUACGACGGCGCCGCGUGCGGAAUAACGGCCUACGAGUUGUGAACCGCUUUCGCCGGUGACGAAGAGUGAGUGACGGUAAUGGAUAAGAAAGCACCGGCUAACUACGUG